Molecule: ribosomal RNA, 253 nt
Filed under: uncultured bacterium
Lineage: Bacteria
Description: partial 16S ribosomal RNA
Rfam family: Bacterial small subunit ribosomal RNA
Source: RNAcentral
UACGUAGGGUGCGAGCGUUGCCCGGAUUUAUUGGGCGUAAAGGGUGCGUAGGCGGCUUCUUAAGUCAGUGGUGAAAUCCUGCAGCUCAACUGUAGAACAGCCAUUGAUACUGAGAAGCUUGAGUACAGACGAGGUAGGCGGAAUUUAUGGUGUAGCGGUGAAAUGCAUAGAUACCAUAAAGAACACCUAUUGCGAAGGCAGCUUACUAGGCUGUAACUGACGCUGAGGCACGAAAGUGUGGGGAUCAAACAGG